RNAcentral lists this ribosomal RNA (181 nucleotides) under uncultured bacterium. RNAcentral describes it as "partial 16S ribosomal RNA". It matches the Rfam family "Bacterial small subunit ribosomal RNA", at positions 1320 to 1500 of the family's 1533-position model. The record is from RNAcentral.
GUGAAGUCGGAAUCGCUAGUAAUCGCGGAUCAGCAUGCCGCGGUGAAUACGUUCCCGGGCCUUGUACACACCGCCCGUCACACCAUGAGAGUUGGGAAUACCCGAAGUCUGUAAUCUAACCGCAAGGAGGAUGCAGCCGAAGGUAGGCUCAAUGAUUGGGGUUAAGUCGUAACAAGGUAAC